CUCGUGUCGUGAGAUGUUGGGUUAAGUCCCGUAACGAGCGCAACCCUUGUCCUUAGUUACCAGCACGUUAAGGUGGGCACUCUAAGGAGACUGCCGGUGACAAACCGGAGGAAGGUGGGGAUGACGUCAAGUCAUCAUGGCCCUUACGGCCUGGGCUACACACGUGCUACAAUGGUCGGUACAAAGGGUUGCCAAGCCGCGAGGUGGAGCUAAUCCCAUAAAACCGAUCGUAGUCCGGAUCGCAGUCUGCAACUCGACUGCGUGAAGUCGGAAUCGCUAGUAAUCGUGAAUCAGAAUGUCACGGUGAAUACGUUCCCGGGCCUUGUACACACCGCCCGUCACACCAUGGGAGUGGGUUGCUCCAGAAGUAGCUAGUCUAACCUUCGGGGGGACGGUUACCACGGAGUGAUUCAUGACUGGGGUGAAGUCGUAACAAGGUAGCCGUAGGGGAACCUGCGGCUGGAUCACCUCCUUAA
This 476-nucleotide ribosomal RNA is filed under the name Stutzerimonas nitrititolerans. RNAcentral describes it as "bacterial SSU rRNA". It matches the Rfam family "Bacterial small subunit ribosomal RNA", at positions 1059 to 1533 of the family's 1533-position model. The record is from RNAcentral. Lineage: Bacteria; Pseudomonadati; Pseudomonadota; Gammaproteobacteria; Pseudomonadales; Pseudomonadaceae.